RNAcentral lists this ribosomal RNA (301 nucleotides) under uncultured bacterium. RNAcentral describes it as "partial 16S ribosomal RNA". It matches the Rfam family "Bacterial small subunit ribosomal RNA", at positions 509 to 807 of the family's 1533-position model. The record is from RNAcentral.
CAGUCGCCACGGGAAUACGAAGGGGGCUAGCGUUGCUCGGAAUGACUGGGCGUAAAGGGCGCGUAGGCGGAUUGUUUAGUUAGGCGUGAAAUUCCUGGGCUUAACCUGGGGACUGCGCUUAAUACAGGCAGUCUAGAGUGAGGAAGAGGGCUGUGGAAUUCCCAGUGUAGAGGUGAAAUUCGUAGAUAUUGGGAAGAACACCGGUGGCGAAGGCGGCAACCUGGUCCUUGACUGACGCUGAGGCGCGAAAGCGUGGGGAGCAAACAGGAUUAGAUACCCGGGUAGUCCCUGUCUCUUAUAC